Molecule: long non-coding RNA, 491 nt
Filed under: Manihot esculenta (cassava)
Lineage: Eukaryota; Viridiplantae; Streptophyta; Magnoliopsida; Malpighiales; Euphorbiaceae
Description: long non-coding RNA (MESC_LNC006791)
Source: RNAcentral
AUUUGCAGUAUAUAUACUCUUUAUUUCAUGCAUGCUUAACUCAAUACAAACCAAAUCCACUAACCACUUCCCCCCCCACAUCCGCCGCCCUGAUCAAGAGACUUGAGGGGCUGAGUCUCAAAUUGACGAGAGGGAGCUGAGUUUUCCGGCGAAAAAUGACCAGUUCUGGUGGCGGCCCCACUAGGGGCCGUCUAUGGCCUCAAUUGGCCUUCGCAUUGGCUGUGGUUCUUGUUUCAAGCUGUGUAAGUUCAGUUUAUGGUGAUGCUUAUCCAUACUCUUCUCCUCCUCCUCCACCUUAUGAGUACAAGUCACCACCACCCCCAUCUCCUUCUCCACCACCUCCUUAUGAGUACAAAUCUCCACCACCACCAUCUCCUAAACCUCACUAUGAAUACAAGUCUCCUCCACCACCAUCUCCUUCUCCACCACCUCCUUAUGAGUAUAAAUCCCCACCACCACCAUCUCCUUCUCCACCACNNNNNNNNNNNNNN